GACGAACGCUGGCGGCGUGCCUAAUACAUGCAAGUUGAGCGCUGAAGGUUGGUACUUGUACCAACUGGAUGAGCAGCGAACGGGUGAGUAACGCGUGGGGAAUCUGCCUUUGAGCGGGGGACAACAUCUGGAAACGAAUGCUAAUACCGCAUAAAAACUUUAAACACAAGUUUUAAGUUUGAAAGAUGCAAUUGCAUCACUCAAAGAUGAUCCCGCGUUGUAUUAGCUAGUUGGUGAGGUAAAGGCUCACCAAGGCGAUGAUACAUAGCCGACCUGAGAGGGUGAUCGGCCACAUUGGGACUGAGACACGGCCCAAACUCCUACGGGAGGCAGCAGUAGGGAAUCUUCGGCAAUGGACGAAAGUCUGACCGAGCAACGCCGCGUGAGUGAAGAAGGUUUUCGGAUCGUAAAACUCUGUUGGUAGAGAAGAACGUUGGUGAGAGUGGAAAGCUCAUCAAGUGACGGUAACUACCCAGAAAGGGACGGCUAACUACGUG
RNAcentral lists this ribosomal RNA (497 nucleotides) under uncultured bacterium. RNAcentral's name for it is "partial 16S ribosomal RNA". It matches the Rfam family "Bacterial small subunit ribosomal RNA", at positions 28 to 507 of the family's 1533-position model. The record is from RNAcentral.